RNAcentral lists this ribosomal RNA (274 nucleotides) under uncultured bacterium. RNAcentral's name for it is "partial 16S ribosomal RNA". It matches the Rfam family "Bacterial small subunit ribosomal RNA", at positions 523 to 796 of the family's 1533-position model. The record is from RNAcentral.
AUACGAAGGGGGCUAGCGUUGUUCGGAAUUACUGGGCGUAAAGCGCGCGUAGGCGGAUUGGUCAGUUAGGGGUGAAAUCCCAGGGCUUAACCCUGGAACUGCCUCUAAUACUGCCAGUCUUGAGUUCGGGAGAGGUGAGUGGAAUUCCUAGUGUAGAGGUGAAAUUCGUAGAUAUUAGGAAGAACACCAGUGGCGAAGGCGGCUCACUGGCCCGAUACUGACGCUGAGGUGCGAAAGCGUGGGGAGCAAACAGGAUUAGAAACCCUAGUAGUCC